Molecule: ribosomal RNA, 2796 nt
Filed under: Clostridioides difficile
Lineage: Bacteria; Bacillati; Bacillota; Clostridia; Peptostreptococcales; Peptostreptococcaceae
Description: partial 23S ribosomal RNA
Rfam family: Bacterial large subunit ribosomal RNA
Source: RNAcentral
GGUCAAGUUAUUAAGGGUGCAGGGCGGAUGCCUUGGCACUAGGAGCCGAUGAAGGACGUGAUAAGCUGCGAUAAGCUUCGGGGAGUUGCACGUAAACUUUGAUCCGAAGAUUUCCGAAUGAGGAAACUCACUUAGAGUAAUGUCUAAGUAUCAUUAAGUGAAUACAUAGCUUAAUGAGGGGAACUCAGGGAACUGAAACAUCUAAGUACCUGAAGGAAGAGAAAGAAAUUCGAUUCCGUAAGUAGCGGCGAGCGAACGCGGAUUAGCCCAAACCAAUAAAGUUUUCUUUAUUGGGGUUGCGGACAUAUCAUAACGAAGAGGUAUCGUAAUUGAAGAGGUUUGGAAAGACCCACCACAGAAGGUAAUAGUCCUGUAUGUUAAACGAGAAGACUUUAGAUAUGAUCCAGAGUACCACGGGACACGUGAAACCCUGUGGGAAGCAGGAGGGACCACCCUCCAAGGCUAAAUACUACCUAGUGACCGAUAGCGUAUAGUACCGUGAGGGAAAGGUGAAAAGAACCCCGGGAGGGGAGUGAAAUAGAACCUGAAACCCUGCACUUACAAGCUGUGGAAGCACAUUUCUUGUGUGACCGCGUACUUUUUGUAGAACGGGCCAACGAGUUACGUUAAGUAGCAAGGUUAAGCACUUAAGGUGCGGAGCCGUAGCGAAAGCGAGUUUUAACUGAGCGUUCAGUUACUUGACGUAGACCCGAAACCGGGCGACCUACCCAUGAGCAGGAUGAAGCGAAAGUAAAAUUUCGUGGAGGUCCGAACCCACGAGCGUUGAAAAGCUCGGGGAUGACUUGUGGGUAGCGGUGAAAUUCCAAUCGAGCCCGGAGAUAGCUGGUUCUCCCCGAAAUAGCUUUAGGGCUAGCCUCAAGGUGAGAGAUACGGAGGUAGAGCACUGAAUGUCCUAGGGGGUAUUGCACCUACCGAAGACUAUCAAACUCCGAAUGCCGUCAUCUUAUACUUGGGAGUCAGACUGUGGGUGAUAAGAUUCAUAGUCGAAAGGGCAACAGCCCAGAUCGUCAGCUAAGGUCCCUAAAUGUAAGUUAAGUGGUAAAGGAUGUGGGAUUGCACAGACAACCAGGAUGUUGGCUUAGAAGCAGCCACUCAUUCAAAGAGUGCGUAAUAGCUCACUGGUCGAGUGAUCCUGCGCCGAAGAUUUCCGGGGCUAAAACUUACUACCGAAGCUACGGCAUCAGUAAUGAUGGGUAGGGGAGCUUCCCAUACGGGUUGAAGCAUGACCGUAAGGACAUGUGGACAGUAUGGGAGUGAGAAUGUUGGCAUGAGUAGCGAGAUGUGGGUGAGAAUCCCACAGGCCGUAAACCCAAGGUUUCCAGGGGAAGGUUCGUCCGCCCUGGGUUAGUCGGGACCUAAGCUGAGGCCGAAAGGCGUAGGUGAUGGACAACAGGUUGAUAUUCCUGUACUACCGAUAACCGUUUGAGAGAAGGGAUGACACAGUAGGAUAAGCUAAGCACACUGUUGGUUAUGUGUGCCCAAGCAUUGAGGCAGUCAAAGUAGGCAAAUCCGCUUUGAUAAUGCUGGGAUGUGAUGGGGAGCGAAAUUUAGUAGCGAAGUAGCUGAUUUCACACUGUCAAGAAAAGUCUCUAUCGAGGUUAAAGGUACCCGUACCGCAAACCGACACAGGUGGGUGAGGAGAGUAUCCUAAGGCCAGCGAGAGAACUGUUGUUAAGGAACUCGGCAAAAUGACCCCGUAACUUAGGGAUAAGGGGUGCCACCAUCAGGUGGCCGCAGAGAAUAGGCCCAAGCGACUGUUUACCAAAAACAUAGGUUUCUGCUAAGUCGCAAGACGAUGUAUAGGAGCUGACGCCUGCCCGGUGCUGGAAGGUUAAGGGGAUCUGUUAGAGCAAUCGAAGCAGUGAACUUAAGCCCCAGUAAACGGCGGCCGUAACUAUAACGGUCCUAAGGUAGCGAAAUUCCUUGUCGGGUAAGUUCCGACCCGCACGAAAGGCGUAACGAUUUGGGCACUGUCUCAACAACAGACUCGGUGAAAUUGUAAUUCCGGUGAAGAUGCCGGAUACCUGCGACAGGACGGAAAGACCCCAUGGAGCUUUACUGUAGCUUGACAUUGGGUCUUGGUACUACAUGUACAGGAUAGGUGGGAGGCUUUGAAACCAGGACGCCAGUUUUGGCGGAGCCAUCCUUGGGAUACCACCCUUGUAGUACUGGGACUCUAACCAUAGGCCAUGAAUCUGGUCUUGGGACACUGUCAGGUGGGCAGUUUGACUGGGGCGGUCGCCUCCCAAAAGGUAACGGAGGCGCUCAAAGGUUCUCUCAGUACGGUCGGAAAUCGUACGUAGAGUGUAAAGGCAAAAGAGAGCUUGAUUGCAAGACAUACAGGUCGAGCAAGGAUGAAAAUCGGACUUAGUGAUCCGGUGGUUCUGCGUGGAAGGGCCAUCGCUCAACGGAUAAAAGCUACCCUGGGGAUAACAGGCUUAUCUCCCCCAAGAGUCCACAUCGACGGGGAGGUUUGGCACCUCGAUGUCGGCUCAUCACAUCCUGGGGCUGUAGUAGGUCCCAAGGGUUGGGCUGUUCGCCCAUUAAAGUGGUACGCGAGCUGGGUUCAGAACGUCGUGAGACAGUUCGGUCCCUAUCCGUCGCAGGCGUAGGAAAUUUGAGAAGACCUGUCCUUAGUACGAGAGGACCGGGAUGGACGUACCUCUGGUGUACCAGUUGUCCUGCCAAGGGCAUGGCUGGGUAGCUAUGUACGGAAUGGAUAAGCGCUGAAAGCAUCUAAGCGCGAAGCCAACUUCAAGAUAAGAUUUCCCACCG